This is a long non-coding RNA of Bombina bombina (fire-bellied toad), 2219 nucleotides long. RefSeq lists it as uncharacterized. The record is from RefSeq and is a predicted model, not a curated record. The transcript is spliced from 4 exons. NCBI's taxonomy places the organism in Eukaryota, Metazoa, Chordata, Amphibia, Anura, Bombinatoridae.
UCCAGCUCUACAGACUGCUCUCACUGUUUCCAGUGUGUGCCUCCUGAGCCUCCAAGAGGAAUCAUUACCAAGCUUCCCUGUGAACUGUGGUUGUUAUUUUUUAGACCGGAUAAUUCAGUUCCGGUUGGGUCAAAACUCUGGAGUAAUAUGAUAUAGGAUGUAGAGGAUCUUUUAGAGUCUUUCUUUGUGAAAGGACAGAACCAAUAGCAUGUUCUGAUGCAUCGACUUCGAGAACAAAGUGAACAAAGGUGUUCUCAUGAGACUUAUAAGCCUUCUUAUCCUGAAUUAAGGGUAACGUUAAGUUGCAGGCUGCUAGAAGAGAUCUACAUUCCUCGGUUGUGCAGUGAGGUCAAAUGUCCUGUCUGGAACUGAUGACGUCAGGUAUCAACUUAUUCUUGCUGGAAAAAGAGUGACAGAUAUGACAAAAUUAUACUUAAUAUGUGAAAACUACAUCCAAGUGAAGCAUUACUAUGAUGUAAUAACAAAAUGUUGCAUGUUUAAUAUUUUUUUUUUCAGGUCUCACAUCUCAUAGCAAGUAGAGAUGUGAUGUGACAUCAUUUUAUAGAAAUAUACUUAAUGUGCUAGUUCUUAUGUUAUAGUAGUCAAGCUUAAACUGACAGAUGCUUAAUCCAUUUAAGGGAUCACCAUGUUCUGGGCCAUCCUCAUUCAGUGCCAAGUGUUCCUCAUGGAUCCAUGAUGUCUAUCAAAUACCUGAUCCACGCAAUGGAAGCCUAAUACAGACACAAACAUGAUGUUUAAUCAACCAAAAACCAGCACAAUAACUUGUUAUACAGUUGCUCCACACAUUCUCCUGGGCUACAUACACAGAAAUAAAGUUGUUCUGAAACAAUCUGGUGGUUUAAACCUGACAGCAACCACACACUAUACAAUAACUUGGUUUACGUUGAUGCCUUAAGAAAGAAAUUGCAAACUUUACACUUUAUUUUUUUUCUUGGUGAUGCAGCAUUGCAUCCACUUAAAGGGAUAUAGACUGUAUACACAAGUCUUGACUGACUUUUGAUAUUUUUCUACACCAAUAAAUGUUAAAAUAUUUAAUAAGUUGAAUUUUACCCUAUUCAGGUACUAAAUCACUGUGUACCUGAUAACAAGACAUUUAUCGAGAUUACCUUGUCUUAUUCACUCGUGACAGGUCAUCUCGAGAGGGGGAUUAUGUCAGAACAGUUGUCUGGUAAAAUUCAACAUUUUUAUAUUGCAUAUUAAUCACAUAUGUCUGUGCUAUAUAAUAUAGGGGUAAAAUGUAUCAUGUGUAUUUACUUAUAGAUUUAGGUACACAUACACAUAUAUAUUAUUUUUCAUUAUUAAUAUGUAGCUAUUAGCUAGUGUUGCUUGUCAGUAUAUAAUUGCUUACUGCAACAUUUUUGUACUUUAUCAAAAUAAUUCAUGUUUACUUACUAUGAUAUUCAAGGUCUCUGACAUAGCUGCAUGAUUUCUAUCAUUAUAUUAUUGAUAUAAAUAUCCACAUGUUUUUCAUACAUGGUUCCAGUAAGUCUCUUUUUCUAUAAACAUUAGUGGGGUUCAACCUUGGUUAAUGGUCAAAUAGAGAUACUGACUUGUUUUUCAGAAUAUAUUUACAAAAUACAUAUUUGUCUAUUAUAGCUUAGUGACGAGUGCCAUCUUCCAAGGGAAAAAUAUUCUUACUGCUAAAUCUUAGCUUAUUAACAAAAAUGUUAAUUAAUCUGUAAUUAGUAUUAGCCAAUCAUUUAUUUGAAACCUAACCUUAUCAGUGGGGGUGGAGUUAAGAGCUUUCCAUAAAAUACACACCCACAAAAGGAGAGGGGAACACAAGCAGACAGCACAAGAGGCCACACUGAGCAUGCAUGAUAACCACACCCUAUCCAGAGGAGAUGGGAGGCUAAGCUGACCAGAUAGACAAGUCAGGAUAAUGGCAAGAGAGGGUCCAGGGGUAACCUUAGAGGGUCUUUUAACACUGAACCCCAGUGAAGGAUCCCACAAUGUUGAUAAGUAUGAAACAAACCUAUAUGAAACAGUUUUGUUAAUAUGAUUUAUGCUCUUUACAUUUAUAUUCAAAGUUUUAUUAUUGAAUCAGGUGAGUUAAUCAAUUCUGGUUUGCCUUUUAUAGUCACAAAUAUUUGUGUUAGGUAAUUCCUGUUAACCCGGUCUUAUCUGUCGACAAUAACACUGGGUUAAUCAGGAAUCUGGUAAUAAUAUAAUUUUCUUAUGGUUUGCCAGGAUUAUUA